AUACGGAGGGUCCGAGCGUUAUCCGGAAUCAUUGGGUUUAAAGGGUCCGUAGGCGGGAAUCUAAGUCAAUGGUGAAAUCUUGCAGCUCAACUGUAAAAUUGCCAUUGAUACUGGAUUUCUUGAAUUAGUGUGAAGUGGUUAGAAUGUGUAGUGUAGCGGUGAAAUGCAUAGAUAUUACACAGAAUACCAAUUGCGAAGGCAGAUCACUAACACUAUAUUGACGCUAAGGGACGAAAGCGUGGGGAGCGAACAGGAUUAGAAACCCGAGUAGUCC
This 274-nucleotide ribosomal RNA is filed under the name uncultured bacterium. Its description in RNAcentral is "partial 16S ribosomal RNA". It matches the Rfam family "Bacterial small subunit ribosomal RNA", at positions 523 to 796 of the family's 1533-position model. The record is from RNAcentral.